This 67-nucleotide transfer RNA is filed under the name Agrianome spinicollis. RNAcentral's name for it is "tRNA-Ser". Lineage: Eukaryota; Metazoa; Arthropoda; Insecta; Coleoptera; Cerambycidae. The record is from RNAcentral.
GAGGUGGGACAUACAAAGGCAAGCUUCUAACUUAACCUUUAAGCGAUGAAAGUUCGUUUACACUUCU